AUUGAACGCUGGCGGCAGGCCUAACACAUGCAAGUCGAGCGGAUGAAGGGAGCUUGCUCCUGGAUUCAGCGGCGGACGGGUGAGUAAUGCCUAGGAAUCUGCCUGGUAGUGGGGGAUAACGUCCGGAAACGGGCGCUAAUACCGCAUACGUCCUGAGGGAGAAAGUGGGGGAUCUUCGGACCUCACGCUAUCAGAUGAGCCUAGGUCGGAUUAGCUAGUUGGUGGGGUAAAGGCCUACCAAGGCGACGAUCCGUAACUGGUCUGAGAGGAUGAUCAGUCACACUGGAACUGAGACACGGUCCAGACUCCUACGGGAGGCAGCAGUGGGGAAUAUUGGACAAUGGGCGAAAGCCUGAUCCAGCCAUGCCGCGUGUGUGAAGAAGGUCUUCGGAUUGUAAAGCACUUUAAGUUGGGAGGAAGGGCAGUAAGUUAAUACCUUGCUGUUUUGACGUUACCAACAGAAUAGGCAUCGGCUAACUUCGUG
This 484-nucleotide ribosomal RNA is filed under the name uncultured bacterium. RNAcentral's name for it is "partial 16S ribosomal RNA". It matches the Rfam family "Bacterial small subunit ribosomal RNA", at positions 30 to 507 of the family's 1533-position model. The record is from RNAcentral.